CGUCGCGCAUCGUGGCUUACCGCGACGAAAGUCGGUUCGAGAUGGGCUACAAACCGCUGCCACUGCCCGAAGCGGAGGGUGCCACCUUCCGCGAUGGC
RNAcentral lists this transfer RNA (98 nucleotides) under Sulfitobacter sp. THAF37. RNAcentral's name for it is "tRNA-Ser". Lineage: Bacteria; Pseudomonadati; Pseudomonadota; Alphaproteobacteria; Rhodobacterales; Roseobacteraceae. The record is from RNAcentral.